Gallus gallus (chicken) is the source of this 1826-nucleotide long non-coding RNA. RefSeq lists it as uncharacterized. NCBI's taxonomy places the organism in Eukaryota, Metazoa, Chordata, Aves, Galliformes, Phasianidae. The transcript is spliced from 3 exons. The record is from RefSeq and is a predicted model, not a curated record.
GUCAAAGAGAAGAACAGUCCUUCUUCUUGGAUUGUUUUGGUAUUUUCUGCUGACUGCUUUAGGUGUCCCUUUGUACACCUGACUGUGAAGCCUUGUACUUCUCAUCUGAUUAUCACGAAUGUUGGCUUUGUCACCAUAGCGCUGCCUCAGAACUUCUGGAGCCGAGUCUCCUUGCGCACUGCAGUGUCAACUGCCACAGCACUGAUGUACCUCUGGGUGAACAAGGACUGCAUAAAAUGAAAGGUUGCCUGUGACUGAAUAAAAGUGAGAAAAUGACCACUGCAGAAAUCAGGAGAACAGCAGAUUAUGAAAUAAAAUAUGGCUAAUUGUCUGGAGACAAUAAGCAAGUCAUUGCCUCAUGUCCAAAGGCUGAAUAUAGCAACUUUGCAAUGGAUCCUCUCAGUCUGAUGGAUUACCUUUCCAAUGGGGAAGAUGAAAGUACGUCUAUGUUUGGUAUAUAUAGUUGAUGAAAUUAUUGAACCAUCUAAUCAUUUUUUAUUUCUGAGAAAGAUUUAAAGAAUACAGGUUGUAUAGAAUAAAUAUUGAGCUACUGAAUGACUCAUUAAUAUAGAAUGCACAUUUUCAUUGGCCUAGAGGUGGAUUGUCAAAUGAUUUAUCAGCAAAAAUAUGUGACUCUUCAUUGCUGAAGAACUUUGCAUAUAUAUUAGAUUUAUUGAGUUAAGCAAUUGUAAUUAUCAAAUGGUUUACCUUUGUCUGACAAGUACCAACAUUCUACUCAUAACAUGCUUAUUAUUUUCUUUUAAAACUACUUCUAGUAAUUACUUCUAAUAUCUAAUUACUCCAUAACUGUAGUACACAUUCAUAAAAGUAAAAUGUAUAACAAAAAAAUUCUACCUUAAAAAUGUUAUGAAUUAUGAAGUAAUAGGAACAAAUAGAAGUGAAAUAUAUAUUUAAUUUGCUCACUGAAAUUGAGGGGAUGAAGGUCACAAGAUAUUUUCUUUCCCAAGUGAUAUUUCAGAUCACAGCUCCAAAGUGAUUGGAAGCUUCAGCCCUUAACUGUAAUAUUUUAAAGAAUAAGAUGAGUUUCAAACUGAAAAUAUCACAAAACAGUUUGCUAUAUACAUAUUCUGCCAGCCUCAUAUGUAGGUGAUGUCAAAUUAAAUGAAGUCGAAACUGACUUUAAAAUGUUCAAUAAAACCUUCAAGAAGAAAUUUGUGUAUCAAGUACUGUGCUCCAUAAGCUGGAGAUGUAACCAGAGAUACAAAUUCCUUGGUCCCAGUCUAUUCUAAACGGUACCUGAAAAUUCUCAUUUUUAAUAAUGUAUUCUAGGGCAUGAGAUACAGAAAUUUUCCCAUCUUCUAGGAAAUGACUUUUUAUAUUAUAUAGUCAUUCUGCUUGAACCUUCCACAGUAUGGUUUACCACAGAACCAUCCAACGGCAGAGAGAGCCAUUGUGGAAAGCACCUUAGUAGCAUACAUUGGAGAAAAGAAAUCUUUUUUUUUGGCUUCUUUUCAUUUUCCUGGCACCACACUUACACAUACUGAGCAGGCAUAAUACUCUCCACUUCUAGAAAUCUUUCACAGUGACAGAUCAGGAUAAGAAAAGCAACUUAGGGACUCUUUCAAGUCUUUGUUUUGUAAUUCAGUGUGUUGAAAUGUUUUCUUCAGAAGUAUUUGAUCCUAAAUGCUAAGGAGGUACAUGAUAUAAGGAAAAAUACAUUUGUCUCUGUGCAGGUAUAACUACCAGCAUGACAUCAAAAGAUAAAUUUACAAUGGGAAUGACCUUGAAGAUGAAAAAAUUGGGUUCUUUAACACAACUCUGAUAUACAUACUGUAUUUUUGUUUCUUUAUUACCUGUUUCUAUAC